Molecule: small RNA, 117 nt
Filed under: Callithrix jacchus (white-tufted-ear marmoset)
Lineage: Eukaryota; Metazoa; Chordata; Mammalia; Primates; Cebidae
Description: Metazoan signal recognition particle RNA (ENSCJAG00000071020.1)
Source: Rfam by way of RNAcentral
GCCAGGCGCGGUGGCUCAUGCCUGUAAUCCCAGCACUUUGGGAGGCUGAGGUGGGUGGAUCACCUGAGGUCAGGAGUUCGAGACCAGCCUGGCCAAUAUGGUGAAACCCCAUCUUUU